Molecule: ribosomal RNA, 500 nt
Filed under: uncultured bacterium
Lineage: Bacteria
Description: partial 16S ribosomal RNA
Rfam family: Bacterial small subunit ribosomal RNA
Source: RNAcentral
AUUGAACGCUGGCGGCAUGCUUUACACAUGCAAGUCGAACGGUAACAGGGAGCUUGCUCCGCUGACGAGUGGCGAACGGGUGAGUAAUAUAUCGGAACGUACCCAAGAGUGGGGGAUAACGUAGCGAAAGUUACGCUAAUACCGCAUACGAUCUAAGGAUGAAAGCAGGGGAUCUUCGGACCCUGUGCUCCUGGAGCGGCCGAUAUGUGAUUAGCUAGUUGGUGGGGUAAAGGCUCACCAAGGGGACGAACAGUAGCUGGUCUGGGAGGACGACCAGCCACACUGGAACUGAGACACGGUCCAGACUCCUACGGGAGGCGGCAGUGGGGAAUUUUGGACAAUGGGCGCAAGCCUGAUCCAGCAAUGCCGCGUGAGUGAAGAAGGCCUUCGGGUUGUAAAGCUCUUUUGUCAGGGAAGAAACGGGAGUGGCUAAUAUCCAUUCCUAAUGACGGUACCUGAAGAAUAAGCACCGGCUAACUACGUGCCAGCCGCCGCCGUAA